CACAGAUGGUGGUGGCUGGGCCUCUCACCUGCUCCUCAUAUUCUCUGUUGUUGUUUUUUUCUUACGUAUAUCUUCAGUUAUUGUGUGUGUGUGUGUGUGUGUGGCGCAUUACAGCCGGUGAGGGGCAUGCCCCCCCCCCGUUACCCGCUGCGGCCUAGUCACCAUCUGUCACCAGUAGCACUCAAUUUGUUUGUAGAGGCGCAUUUGGUUAUUCCUACAGCUGAUGGAAAUUUAAUUGUUUUGUAUGAACACUAUAUUUUAAGUAAAUGUUGAAAUCAGGGGAAUUUUAUUGCCUCACUCUGACUUCAGUGAUCUGUAGAUCCGUUGUUAAAUUAUUUAUGAGGCACUACUUAACCCUGUGCUACCAGUGGUUCCCAAUGUCUUUCUUUCAGUUGCUCAACUUCUCGUGAUUUGAUCUACACACUAUGCAUCAGCUAAUGCAUUCUAAUACAACCGCCCGACAACUCUCUCCCUCAUUCUCUUCUAUCAGCGAAGUAGACAGCCCAAAUAAAAAUUGACCAAUGGUACCCCCUAGAGGGGAUUUACUCUCAUGAUGAACAUUACUAAUUGCUUGUGAUCUCUUCUCAGACUGCUAUGGCUGGUUCCACACCUGCAGAAUCCAGAUUAACAUUGAAAAACUAACACUUCCAAAUGCUUGCCAGAGUCUCUAGAUAUCUUCACUGCAAGAUGAAGACAACCUUUAGGUUAAAGGGCAACCUCUGACUUCAAUACAUGGAUUAAGAUUUUGCCAAUUACUUAUUUAAUCUAAAUUCUACCACUGAAUUUCAGGGACAAGUAGGAGGCCAAACAGUUGGUUCAAUAUGCGAUGGGCAAGAAACCUGGUGGAGACCGUAGUGCCAUGAAUACAAAAAAGUCUUGUAGGACACAACUGCAAUUGCUGAUUAUGGGCGGUCGACCUAAACUGACAGACCUGUCCAGGUCAAAGGAGGCUCAUGGAUCUUGGGGAGAAGAUGGGCGAGGCCUGAGCUCUUAAUCAAGGACUGUCCAGAGAAAACAGGCUCCUGCCUUGAUCGCCAGAAGUGGUCAAGCAGUUUCAGCCUCUUGUGAGAGUGGAAAUUACCAGCAGUCUUGAGUGAUUUGAGUGAACGUGUCUCUCUGUUACAAACCCGAUCUUUCCUUUAAUGGAAUCGGGUUGAGUGUUGCUGCUGGCUCUGUGUAGCUGUACGAUCGGCACUGCAGGUGUAUUGGUGCGAAGCUCCCUGACGGGUAUGUAUGUAUAUCAGUGGCAUCGCGUGUAUGUUCUUAAAUCAUAAACUGUCAUUGAAUUUGGUUUGUUUGUGCACGCCAGGGUUGUAAAAUUGCUUCACGUGCGCUGGUAUCUGCACCAGCCCCUCCCUUCCCUGCCACGGUGCUGUUUUGUCGCCGCUGACUUUGGGUUUAAACUACGUUCAACGGGUUGCAGCUACACAACUGUAAAUUCCUCCAGGCGUUGAGCGCCUCACAGCGCCCGGAUCUGUUGCUUAAAGUGACAGGGCUGUCUGAUUGCAACCCGGUUGAUAGUUUGCCUUUUUUUGGUUUGCCCGUGCUUGCUACUAUGUGUAUGGAGAUUGGGGUUUAUUUGUUAAAUUAUGAUUUUAAGUGAUGUUGGUUUAUAUUUCUAAGUUUCGAUAAGAAGACUAAUUUUGGUUGGAAUUCUAUUAUCUGUUAAUUUUGGUUAUUUUAGUUGGUAGGCUCUAGUGGUGCCGAAGGUGGUGGUGUGUCUCUCUCCAGUGUGCUGUGUUUUCCCCGUUUGGUUUAAUUUGAGUCGUUUGCUGCAGUGUGAUUGGGGUGAUCCUUCUCUGAGACCCCAUUGACCCUGUCCCUCCACCGGUAAGACCUCAGCACUUACUUUCCCUAUUUAGUAGGUCUGGUAUUUUAAAUGGUAUUUUAUAUUUGUUUUAGUAAUUGUAUUAAAUAAAAUCAUUGUUGUAACGGAACUACGUCUCUGGCUUCAUGCAUGAAUCAAAUCUGUGUGCUUUAGUAAAAUACUAUUCUCGGGGUGAAAUUCCCCGGGUGGCGUUGCCAGUGUCAUCAGUGUUGAGCGGGCCAAAAAGGCACUCCACACCAAAAGAGUUCCACUCGCCACAUAAUGCUUGUCAUGCAGGCUGUGUGACAGGUCUAAUAACAUGUUCUGUUUUUCCUAACUGUCAAGAGCCUGACUGGUGCAUAAUGUAUUAAAUGAAUCUGCUUCUAAUAUGUUGUAUGUCCUGAAAUAUGCCGCCCUCUUUAGCUGCUUCAUUUAAUAUUUGCAAUUUCCCUGUAUGUGCAAAAAGCUGCCAUCAUUGUUCGGGAAAAAUUCCGGUUGCGUUAGGUAAAGUAGUUUUAGAAGUGGCCCAGCAACUUCAGUAUGCUGUGAAAAUUGCCAGCUGACUUAUGGAUUUGAGUGAGAGGUAAGACCUUUUCUCCAGUACUGAUUUUGUUAUGUCAUGCAGGCUGUGUGACGGGUCUAAUACUGUUUAGAAGGCCUGACUGUUUUGCUUAUGCAUCUGCUUAUAAAUAUGUACUGAACUACGUGUGUGUGUGU
Molecule: long non-coding RNA, 2524 nt
Organism: Gasterosteus aculeatus aculeatus (three-spined stickleback)
Lineage: Eukaryota; Metazoa; Chordata; Actinopteri; Perciformes; Gasterosteidae
Source: Ensembl